AUUGAACGCUGGCGGCGUGCUUAACACAUGCAAGUCGAACGAAGUGGCGAACGGGUGAGUAACGCGUUAUCAACCUGCCCUUCAGAGGGGGACAACAGUCGGAAACGAUUGCUAAUACCGAAUACUGAAGGAGGGGAUUGCGUCUGAUUAGCUAGUUGGCGGGGUAACGGCCCACCAAGGCGAUGAUCAGUAGCCUGUCUGAGAGGAUGAGCGGCCACAUUGGGACGGAGACACGGCCCAGACUCCUACGGGAGGCAGCAGUGGGUAAUCUUCCGCAAUGGACGAAAGUCUGACGGAGCAACGCCACGUGAGUGAUGACGGCCUUCGGGUUGUAAAGCUCUGUUAAUCGGGACGCGGUACCGGAAUAGAAAGCCACGGCAAACUACGUGCCAGCAGCCGCGGUAAUU
RNAcentral lists this ribosomal RNA (407 nucleotides) under uncultured bacterium. Its description in RNAcentral is "partial 16S ribosomal RNA". It matches the Rfam family "Bacterial small subunit ribosomal RNA", at positions 30 to 525 of the family's 1533-position model. The record is from RNAcentral.